UGGGGAAUUUUGGACAAUGGGCGAAAGCCUGAUCCAGCAAUGCCGCGUGUGUGAAGAAGGCCUUCGGGUUGUAAAGCACUUUUGUCCGGAAAGAAAUCCUUGGCUCUAAUACAGUCGGGGGAUGACGGUACCGGAAGAAUAAGCACCGGCUAACUACGUGCCAGCAGCCGCGGUAAUACGUAGGGUGCAAGCGUUAAUCGGAAUUACUGGGCGUAAAGCGUGCGCAGGCGGUUUGCUAAGACCGAUGUGAAAUCCCCGGGCUCAACCUGGGAACUGCAUUGGUGACUGGCAGGCUAGAGUAUGGCAGAGGGGGGUAGAAUUCCACGUGUAGCAGUGAAAUGCGUAGAGAUGUGGAGGAAUACCGAUGGCGAAGGCAGCCCCCUGGGCCAAUACUGACGCUCAUGCACGAAAGCGUGGGGAGCAAACAGGAUUAGAUACCCUGGUAGUCCACGCCCUAAACGAUGUUAACUAGUUGUUGGGGAUUCAUUUUCCUUAGUAACGUAGCUAACGCGUGAAGUUGACCGCCUGGGGAGUACGGUCGCAAGAUUAAAACUCAAAGGAAUUGACGGGGUCAUAGCUGUUUCCU
Molecule: ribosomal RNA, 586 nt
Filed under: uncultured bacterium
Lineage: Bacteria
Description: partial 16S ribosomal RNA
Rfam family: Bacterial small subunit ribosomal RNA
Source: RNAcentral